CAGUAGCCGCGGUAAUACGAGGGGGGCAAGCGUUGUUCGGAUUUAUUGGGCGUAAAGGGUGCGUAGGCGGUUUGGCAAGUCUUGUGUGAAAUCUUCGGGCUCAACCCGAGGCCUGCACGAGAAACUACCGGGCUUGAGUAUUGGAGAGGUGAGUGGAAUUUCCGGUGUAGCGGUGAAAUGCGUAGAUAUCGGAAGGAACACCUGUGGCGAAAGCGGCUCACUGGACCAUAACUGACGCUGAUGCACGAAAACUAGGGGAGCAAACAGGAUUAGAUACCCCAGUAGUCCCUGUCUCUUAUAC
Molecule: ribosomal RNA, 301 nt
Filed under: uncultured bacterium
Lineage: Bacteria
Description: partial 16S ribosomal RNA
Rfam family: Bacterial small subunit ribosomal RNA
Source: RNAcentral